AUUGAACGCUGGCGGCAGGCCUAACACAUGCAAGUCGAACGGUAACAGGAAGAAGCUUGCUUCUUUGCUGACGAGUGGCGGACGGGUGAGUAAUGUCUGGGAAACUGCCUGAUGGAGGGGGAUAACUACUGGAAACGGUAGCUAAUACCGCAUAACGUCGCAAGCCCAAAGAGGGGGACCUUCGGGCCUCUUGCCAUCUGAUGUGCCCAGAUGGGAUUAGCUAGUAGGUGGGGUAACGGCUCACCUAGGCGACGAUCCCUAGCUGGUCUGAGAGGAUGACCAGCCACACUGGAACUGAGACACGGUCCAGACUCCUACGGGAGGCAGCAGUGGGGAAUAUUGCACAAUGGGCGCAAGCCUGAUGCAGCCAUGCCGCGUGUAUGAAGAAGGCCUUCGGGUUGUAAAGUACUUUCAGCGGGGAGGAAGGGAGUAAAGUUAAUACCUUUGCUCAUUGACGUUACCCGCAGAAGAAGCACCGGCUAACUCCGUG
This 490-nucleotide ribosomal RNA is filed under the name uncultured bacterium. RNAcentral's name for it is "partial 16S ribosomal RNA". It matches the Rfam family "Bacterial small subunit ribosomal RNA", at positions 30 to 507 of the family's 1533-position model. The record is from RNAcentral.